UACGUAGGGGGCAAGCGUUGUCCGGAAUCAUUGGGCGUAAAGAGCGUGUAGGCGGCCAGAAAAGUCCGCUGUGAAAACUCGAGGCUCAACUUCGAGCUGUCGGUGGAAACUUUCUGGCUAGAGUCCGGAAGAGGAGAAUGGAAUUCCUGGUGUAGCGGUGAAAUGCGCAGAUAUCAGGAAGAACACCCGUGGCGAAGGAGGUUCUCUGGGACGGUACUGACGCUGAGACGCGAAAGCGUGGGGAGCGAACAGG
RNAcentral lists this ribosomal RNA (253 nucleotides) under uncultured bacterium. RNAcentral describes it as "partial 16S ribosomal RNA". It matches the Rfam family "Bacterial small subunit ribosomal RNA", at positions 524 to 776 of the family's 1533-position model. The record is from RNAcentral.